UACGGAAGGCAGUAGUGGGGAAUAUUGCACAAUGGGCGAAAGCCUGAUGCAGCUAUGCCGCGUGUAUGAAGAAGGCCUUAGGGUUGUAAAGUACUUUCAUCGGGGAGGAAAAACAAAACUAAUAAUUUUAUUUCUUGACGUUACCCGAAAAAGAAGCACCGGCUAACUCCGUGCCAGCAGCCGCGGUAAUACGGAGGGUGCUAGCGUUAAUCAGAAUUACUGGGCGUAAAGAGCACGUAGGUGGUUUUUUUAAGUCAGAUGUGAAAUCCCUGGGCUUAACCUAGGAACUGCAUUUUGAAACUGAAAUACUAGAGUAUCGUAGAGGGAGGUAGAAUUCUAGGUGUAGCGGUGAAAUGCGUAGAUAUCUGGAGGAAUACCUGUGGCGAAAGCGGCCUCCUAAACGAAUACUGACACUGAGGGUGCGAAAGCGUGGGGAGCAAACAGGGAUUAGAUACC
Molecule: ribosomal RNA, 456 nt
Filed under: uncultured bacterium
Lineage: Bacteria
Description: bacterial SSU rRNA
Rfam family: Bacterial small subunit ribosomal RNA
Source: RNAcentral